RNAcentral lists this ribosomal RNA (241 nucleotides) under uncultured Polaromonas sp. Its description in RNAcentral is "partial 16S ribosomal RNA". It matches the Rfam family "Bacterial small subunit ribosomal RNA", at positions 1141 to 1382 of the family's 1533-position model. Lineage: Bacteria; Pseudomonadati; Pseudomonadota; Betaproteobacteria; Burkholderiales; Comamonadaceae. The record is from RNAcentral.
UAAUGAGACUGCCGGUGACAAACCGGAGGAAGGUGGGGAUGACGUCAAGUCCUCAUGGCCCUUAUAGGUGGGGCUACACACGUCAUACAAUGGAUGGUACAAAGGGUCGCCAACCCGCAGGGGGAGCCAAUCCCAUAAAGCCAUUCGUAGUCCGGAUCGCAGUCUGCAACUCGACUGCGUGAAGUCGGAAUCGCUAGUAAUCGUGGAUCAGAAUGUCACGGUGAAUACGUUCCCGGGUCUU